Molecule: long non-coding RNA, 815 nt
Filed under: Monodelphis domestica (gray short-tailed opossum)
Lineage: Eukaryota; Metazoa; Chordata; Mammalia; Didelphimorphia; Didelphidae
Description: lncRNA (ENSMODG00000044710.1)
Source: RNAcentral
GUAAAUAUAAGUACAAGACUUGACUCACUUAAAUUUAUUUGAUUAAUUCUUUAUAGGAAAAGAAAAGAGGGUCCAGGACAUAGCCACAUGGGAUAUCUAUGAUUACAGGAUGUGACCUGAAUGAAUACUAAGCAAAAGGGACUGAGAUUGAAAAGUCAGAUAGGUAGAUAAACAACUAGGAGAGUAGUAUUCUGAAAAAAUAGAGAGAAGAGAAUAUCAAGGAGAAGAGAGAGAAUGGCAGUGUUAAAGGCUUCAGAGAGAGCAAGAUUCCUCACCCCUCACUCGGUUCUGAGAAGUUCUGGGCUCUGCUUGUUAAAGGAUUCCAAUCGGACCUUCACAAUGAAGCUCAUCACAGGUCUCUUCCUCAUCUCCUUUAUCUUGUCUGUUGACAGUUCUAAGAUGGACAUAAUCAUCAGUGCAGCUGAAACUGCUGCACUUAUUGUGAAGGAAAGUUGUCAGAAAUAUUGUGAUGGAGAGAUAGAAAUUGAAGAUACUAUACCUGAAGGUGCUGAUCCAGAAGAAUACAACAGCAUAAGGGAUGAACACUGGAAAAUAUUCAUGGGGGAACUAAACAAACAGAUGCACCACUAAAAAGCCAUGAGGUCAAGGUGACAAAUGAUCUCAAUCCCAAUUCAAACUACCAAUGAAGACUCUCAAAUUUUAAUUUGUCUUUUCCUUCUUGCUCCCUCUUCCAUGCAGCCUAUAAACUCUGAUAGGAGUAAACUUUUCAUUCAUUUAUCCUAACUGUGAAGGAUUGUAGAUAUUAAUAUAGAUGCUUUAAUAAACAUCAGUGCUGAACAUGAGAUUCCGUGAGU